GACGAACGCUGGCGGCGUGCUUAACACAUGCAAGUCGAACGGAAAGGCCCUGCUUUUGUGGGGUGCUCGAGUGGCGAACGGAUGAGUAACACGUGAGUAACCUGCCCUUGACUUUGGGAUAACUUCAGGAAACUGGGGCUAAUACCGGAUAGGAGCUCCUGCUGCAUGGUGGGGGUUGGAAAGUUUCGGCGGUUGGGGAUGGACUCGCGGCUUAUCAGCUUGUUGGGGGGGUAGUGGCUUACCAAGCCUUGGCCGGGUAGCCGGCCUGGGAGGGUGACCGGCCACAUUGGGACUGAGAUACGGCCCAGACUCCUCCGGGAGGCAGCAGUGGGGAAUAUUGCACAAUGGGCGGAAGCCUGAUGCAGCAACGCCGCGUGCGGGAUGACGGCCUUCGGGUUGUAAACCGCUUUCGCCUGUGACGAAGCGUGAGUGACGGUAAUGGGUAAAGAAGCACCGGCUAACUACGUG
RNAcentral lists this ribosomal RNA (468 nucleotides) under uncultured bacterium. RNAcentral describes it as "partial 16S ribosomal RNA". It matches the Rfam family "Bacterial small subunit ribosomal RNA", at positions 28 to 507 of the family's 1533-position model. The record is from RNAcentral.